UAGAGGAGCAUUAUCUGGACC
RNAcentral lists this unclassified non-coding RNA (21 nucleotides) under Chlamydomonas reinhardtii. Its description in RNAcentral is "small RNA Cre_2276". Lineage: Eukaryota; Viridiplantae; Chlorophyta; Chlorophyceae; Chlamydomonadales; Chlamydomonadaceae. The record is from RNAcentral.